This 395-nucleotide ribosomal RNA is filed under the name uncultured bacterium. RNAcentral's name for it is "bacterial SSU rRNA". It matches the Rfam family "Bacterial small subunit ribosomal RNA", at positions 360 to 773 of the family's 1533-position model. The record is from RNAcentral.
AAUAUUCCGCAAUGCACGCAAGUGUGACGGAGCAAUGCCGCGUGUGGGAUGAAGCAUUUCGGUGUGUAAACCACUGUCAGGGUCUAGGAAAUAUGACCAGGCCCAAAGGAAGAGACGGCUAACUCUGUGCCAGCAGCCGCGGUAAUACAGAGGUCUCAAGCGUUAAUCGGAAUUACUGGGCUUAAAGGGUCCGCAGGCGGACCAGCAAGUACCUUGUGAAAUCUCAGGUCUCAACCCUGAGUCUGCUGGGUAGACUGCUGGUCUUGAGUGCAAAAGGGGUCGCUGGAACUCUAGGUGGAGCGGUGAAAUGCGUAGAUAUCUAGAGGAACGCCAAAGGUGAAGACAGGCGACUGGUUUGCAACUGACGCUCAUGGACGAAAGCGUGGGGAUCAAAC